This 5171-nucleotide long non-coding RNA is filed under the name Trifolium pratense (red clover). RNAcentral's name for it is "long non-coding RNA (TPRA_LNC001351)". The record is from RNAcentral. Lineage: Eukaryota; Viridiplantae; Streptophyta; Magnoliopsida; Fabales; Fabaceae.
AACAACAUUAGCUACUCACAAUUCCUAAUAUUAAACAUCAAAAUAAAUUUGUGAUGUGUAACAUCAAAAUAAAUAAAAAUGGCUAAUGGGUUAUAAGUGUUCUAAUGAAACAGAAAUAUUCUUCAUAAUAAAUGGAAAUCCCAUUAUUUUAAGCAUAUCAAUAUGCUUUUUAUUUUUUGAAACAUAAGCAUAUCAAUAUGCUACAUUGUACAACAAACAUACCACAUAGCCAUAUCCAUAUGAUACCAGAAAGAGUGGAUGAAUACAAAAAUACAAACUAAACAAUUACAGGAAACUAGAGGAUAGAAUGUCUAAAGUGCUGGUAUAUGGGAGUUGUUCGGCUACUAAAAGGUAGAAAAGCCCCAUUACUCCAGCGUGUUCCUUGGUGUUAUUGUAGAUAGAUUCUAGAGUUAAAGUUUCACCAUCGAUUAUCUUGACAGAACCUGGUUGAGGAUAACAAGUGGACAUUCCUACAAUGUGCCCUACUUCAUUUCCUGCUUCAUUCCCAUUUCCAUAAAUUGGUAUAGAUGAACAUAUAACCCUCCCGUCCUGAAAACAUAAUCCACAAAUUUCACAAAACAAGCUACUGCACAAUGUUUAACUACUUGAUCAAAGGUAAAAGUACUAGAAAACAACCCUGGUACAAAAGUAAACAUUCGAAAAACGACCAAGUAUUGAAGUUACAAACUCAAAGUCUUACCACUACCAAAUAUUUAAGAAUGACAAUAAGUUGUAACUAUUGCAAAUUACCUGUCCAUAUAGAGUUGAUCCAAUUCCGCCCGAAUGUUGAUGAGCAACCCCAUAGAUCACAUAGCCACCUGUUUGAAAUGGGAGAUUUGUCCUCUUUACAUGAACACAACCAUUUUCCUCCUUGUGGUCUGUACUGCAUGAUUCUACUUGAUACUCAACCUGAAACCAAAAAAAAUUCCAUGUUGCUUACUAUAAAACCCAACAAAGUAGAGUUUUAGAGUUAAAUAGAGAUUUAGACAAACAAACUACAUAUAUAGUUGAGAGACUCGACAUUCACACAAUCAGUACACCGGUAGCCGUUGGAUUGAGAUUGGACCAUCAUAGAUUCCAAGUGCGGUAUUUUGGAUUUUCAAACAAUCAAAAUCAUAUAUUUUGGGAAAUGUCCGAUUUUUAACCAACAGUCACUGGUGCAUUGAAUACGUGAAAGCAGGGUAUCCCAACUACACUGAACCCAUUUCAACUAACCAAAUGUUUCUUGAUAAAUUCAUUUACCUUGCAAUUAUGAUCUGAGUUCGUUCCUUUUGAAUCAUCUGAUAGUUUCAAAGUAUCAGUCACAUCAAGUACAUAUAUCUUAACAGGCACUAUAUAAUCAUCCCAAUCAAUCCAUUUCACUUUGUAUCUUAAGUAGAGGCUUCUCUUUGGACCCUCAAAACCUUCCUUCAGCUUGCACUGUGUAUUAUCAUAACAACAUAACAAACCUCCUUUAUAAUCUGGUCUAAUAGACCUUCCAGAUUCAUCGAUUGUAACAUUAUAAAGGUCACACUUACACUCGGUGCACCCUGAUUUAUCCUCUGCGCCGCGAUUAUCAAUAGCAUGAAUAUUAACCAGCCAUUUCUCCUCAAACUCUUCUGGAAUCUCUGCAGGAUUACCUAUCUCUAUUCCAAAAGGAUCCGGAAUAUCAGUCGCCGUUCGUCGUGUUUCGGAUCCAAGGCCAAAGUAUUGUGCAUAAAUAGUUCCCUGACACAUGCCACUGUUCCUAAAAGUAUUUUUCAAAUGCGAGUUUGCUUUACUUUGAUGAUAUCUUACAACAACCCAAUGAUGGAGAUAAGUUUCAUGGAGAGGUAUAGGAUUACCAGCUUCAUCAACUACUUCAGCAUCGAAACUCUUGAUUGCUACAUGACCUCUUGGAAAAUCAAUAUCAUAAUAAAAUCUAUUAACAACUGAUCCAGGUCCUAGCUCAAAUUUGGGGGAUAAGAAAACAGCUGAUUUUAUCUUAGCUUUAGUCUUCAGAAUAGAACCUGAGCAAGAUGUGCUCAACAACAGAAGAAGUAUUGAAAGUGAAAAUACAAAAUUUCCAGACAUAGAACACAUGUUGAUCUUAGCAAAAUCUUGCAUGAUAGUCCUCCCUGGAAGCCUUUAAAAAAGUGAAUUAAACUACAAAAUAAACAAAACAGAUAAUAUAUGGCAGAUCAUAUCACCAAAUAAACUAACUACACAAAUAAGCAUGAAAAAGACAUAGUUUGAACAAAAUCAUCAUCAUCAAGAUUUUAAAUUAGUCACAUGGCAACUUAUAAAUACAGUUGAAGUUGAUUCAGCUUCAAUUGCAAUCACAACUAGUCAUCAAAAUUUUGAUGUUGUGACUACAAUUGUUGUCACAGAACAUAACAUUUUUAAAACAUAAACUUAUGAUCAAGCAACUUUGUUUUAUAUUAAAAAAAAAAGUAUAAUUAGCAAUAUUAGAUAGUGAUUAUAGAAACUAAUGACCAAAAAGGAUUAGAGUAUAUGAUCAAGAAUAGAUAGAUGAGAUUGCAUACCUCAAGAAAGUCUGGAAAAUGACAGAGUCUGGAAAUUUAGAGUGUGUCGGUAUUAAAUAGUAGAUAAGAUAAUGAAUGAGUGAAUGAAUGCAAGUGUAGAGAUUGUAAUUCAAUAUUUUAAAUUAUCUUUUCUUUCCUUUUUGGGACACGCAGCCCCUAAAUAUAUUUAGCCGACUAAAUUAAUAUAUUUAAAUAGCUUAAGCAUUUUAUUAAAAAUAAAUGGUAUAAUCAACUUCUGAUAAUGUCUAAUUUUUUUUUUUAAGUAAAAAUGGAAAGCAUGACAUCAUAGUAAGUCAUCGACAUCCCAACUAUAUUGACACCUCAGUGCACUAUCACUCCUCUAUUAUCUCACCAAAAAUAUACUUCAUAAUUUGUCUUAUCCUUUUAACAAUUACUAGUAAUUAUUCAUUGACAAUGAUAUGUUGGUGCUCCCAUCCCACCUCUAAAAAAAAUUUCUCCAUCUUCAAAAAUAUAUAAGAAAAUGAUAAAGAAAAUGAGUGGCUGAUAAGCUCUAUAUUAUUCUAAAUACUAAAUUUAUCCGUUGAAAUUUUUUAAAUUCAGAACUACUUCACAAAGUGAUAUCUUACGUAUUUUCUAUAUAGGAGCAUAAGUGUCUUCACAAAAUACUAAUUCCUUUAGUUCAAUUUUUCUACCCAACCAAACAAGCAAAGAGAACACUUAUCUUUUCUUACCCAGUUUCUCUUUUCUCGAAUACAUAGGUGUUAUUCAAAAAUCUAAAAAAAUGUGACAAAAUUAUACUAGGAGUUAUUUAUCUUUAUUAUUGAUUUUUAUUGCGAAGUUGUAGUGCACCAUUCUUAUCGUGGAGCAAACUUUUGUGCGGAUACAUUGACAAAUUACGAGUGUUUAUUGGAUAAAAAGAUGAAAUUUUAAGAGUCAUAUCCGGUGAAUUUUAGUCAUUUGUUAAUUACUAAUGUAAUUGGGAGAAUUUCUUCCGCUAUAUUAAUCUUGUGUAAUCUUUUUUCUCUUUUCUCGAAUACAUAGGUGUUAUUCAAAAAUCUAAAAAAAUGUGACAAAAUUAUCCUAGGAGUUAUUUAUCUUUAUCUUCUUUUUUCCCCAAAUUGAUCACUUAUCUUUAUAAAUGUGCACAACUAAAUCUUUUAUCAUAUUUGUUUGUAACAUAUUCAUCAAUUAUUUUAUUUAUUUAUAACAUAUUCAUCCUUUAUCUUAUUUUUUAUCUCACACGUGUCAUUUAUCUUUAUAAAUGUGUACGAAUAUUUCAAAGGGAUGGGCUGCAAUAUUUCAAUGUUUGGUCGCGAGGUAAGGAAAGUUUGACAAAAAAUUUAUUCCCACCAAAUAUCGAACUCAGGUUCUCCCGAACAAUUCAUCCUUAAGGGAGCUAAUUUACUCUAUAUUAUCCAAUAAACAUGGAUGUUCUUGCGAGUAUAUUUGGAAAGACACUAAAUGUUGGAUUUUAAAUGUUAGUGGUUCAGUCGAAUGUUGGAUAUAAAAUGUUGCGAGUAUAUCAGAACUGUGGUUCAAUAGUGUUUAUAAAAUUUGGACACCACUCUCUUACAAGCCGAUUUUAUAAGAUCGAAUUAAACUAACUCAAAUUCUAACCAAACCCUUUGAUUGAUUGUUACUAUGUCUGCACAAGAUCUGUUAUUCUUUUGUAUUGCCUUAAUCUCAUGACUUGUGUAUAUCUAUCUUUCUGAUUUAAGGGGCUAUAAAAUAUUUAUUCCAGGAUCCUGUUUGUUACACUACACUGUAAGAUUGUUUCAGAUGCUAAAUUAGCGUUUCAGAUCAGAGAUUAGUUCUAUAACAAUGUGUUAACCUAUUACUAUCACUUUCUACCCUUGAGGCCUUGACAAAUGAGUUUGUUCUGACUAUUGAAACGAGAGAGACGAACAUGGACAAAAACUAACCUAAUUGAAAUGCAAUGGUGACAACUGAGNNNNNNNNNNNNNNNNNNNNNNNNNNNNNNNNNNNNNNNNNNNNNNNNNNNNNNNNNNNNNNNNNNNNNNNNNNNNNNNNNNNNNNNNNNNNNNNNNNNNNNNNAUAUCUAUAUCCAUAUAUGAUACUUAUCACAUAGCCAUAUAACAUAUUCAUAUAUGAUACAAGAAAGAGUGGAUGAAUCCAAAAAUACAAACUGUAUAUCACUAAAACUAGAGAAUAUGCUCACCUCUUGUUUUUCUCCUAUAGCUAGCUACAUACAAAGAGAAAAAAGUGUAAUUAUCCAAUUACACUUUCCAAUCUUGUCUUUAUUCCUCUCAAGUCUUAACCAACCAUAUGGUAAUUUAAUAUCAUGUCACUCCGCUUAUAUUACCAUUUAUUUACAUCCAUAAAAAAUGAAGAACGAGUAGAAUGUCUAAAGUGUUGGUAUGGGAGUUGUUCUGCUACUAAAAGGUAGAAAAGCCCCAUUACUCCAGAGUGUUCCUUGGUGUUAUUGUAGAUAGAUUCUAGAGUUAAAGUUUCACCAUCGAUUAUCUUGACAGAACCUGGUUGAGGAUAACAGGUGGACAUUCCUACAAUGUACCCUACUUCAUUUCCUGCUUCAUUCCCAUUUCCAUAAGUUGGUAUAGAUGAACAUAUAACCCUACCGUCCUGAAAACAUAAUUCACAAAUUUCACAAAACAAGCUACUGCACAAUGUUUAACUUCUUGAUCAAAAGUAAAAGUACUAGAAAACAACCCUGGUACAAGAGUAAAC